RNA transcript from Magnolia sinica, 2680 nucleotides. RefSeq lists it as uncharacterized. Lineage: Eukaryota; Viridiplantae; Streptophyta; Magnoliopsida; Magnoliales; Magnoliaceae. The record is from RefSeq and is a predicted model, not a curated record. The transcript has 3 exons.
CGCCCAAAAAUUCCCUCUUUCGCCAUCUCUCUCCCGAUCUCUGCUCUCUCUCUCUCAUUUUCCUCCCUAACCGUCUCGCUCUCCAUAUCUCUGCUCCAUCUCUCUCAUUAUCAUCCCUCUCUCCAAUGCAUCUCCGUCGUCUCUUCUAUCUCCCUCACAUCAUCGUUUUGCUCGGACCUCCAUUGCAGCAGCGGUGAAGCUCCUACCCGAAGAAACACACGCCAGCUUUUUUCAUAUUUUUGAGGCAUCUCUUAAAACCGAAGGAAUCCGAGUGUACUCUUCAUAGAUUUCUCUCUUUUUCUCUCCAUAGGUCUGCAUCUCUUCUUCAUAUGUAUUGAAACAGACAGAUGAGAUUUGUUGAUUUCCUUGAUCAGGAUGAUGUGAUGUGAUCAUCACUUUGUAUUGGGUCCUCUUCCUCUCAACCAACCUUGUAGCUUGUAACUUCAUUUAUUUUUUCAAUUAGUUCGUUGCUAUAAAAGAUGGUUUAUUUUAUGUUAAGCUGAUAUUUUGUGAAAGCGGUGAAUUUUUCAUUGGGCUGGCUAAGUAUUGGCAUUUGAAAGACUGAUUUUCCAAGAUGAGUGCUACUUUCUGUACACUUCUUGCUUGUGAUCAUGGUUGUUAGGGCUGGUCUGUGCAGGUCUCAAGGGUCUACCGGAAAGCUGCAUCAACACUUUCCAUUGUUUCCAAAAACACCGGAUGGAAUUCACAUCCGAAUGAUGCAGUUGCGUCGCGUAUAAUUUUUGAGUACUUGCGUAUCGACCAUCCUCUGCUAGGAUAACACCACCUAGUGAGUCUAAUCCCACACUAGCACCAGGAAUCCAGUUAGUCUCAGCCGUAACAGCAGCAGCAGCUCCAAACCCAGUUCAUCCUCCUCUCAUCAAUCCCAAAAACAAGAAUGGCAUUUUCAACCUUCCUCUCAUCUUCCAAACUCAAUCUCUUCCUCAAGAGAACCUCUCCAAUACCAUCUCUAUUCUUCUCCUCUUCCACCACUCCUUACCCACUCCAAUACGAACUCAUCAAUUCCCGCCCCGCACGGUCCUCUCUCUCCGCUUCCCAUCGCCGAGAACCCCAACCUGAAAACCCCAAUUCAGAUUCCGAUGCCCCUAUUUCCAAUUCCGCCUCAGAUUCUGAACAAAUGGACAAAUCCAAGAGAAAGUACUACUUGAAGAGGCGAAAGCGGAUGUACGGUUCGGAUGAUGAUGAAGAUGACCGCCCAGGUGAAGACAAGUACGUUGAGUUGAAGCCCGAGGUUGUCGAGCUUCCGACGCUGCAUGCUCGCGAAGAGGAGCUCUACUUCUAUGACACGUUUGCGUUCCCGUGGGAGAAGGAGAAGCAUUACAGGAUGGUGUACCAGCUGGAAAAGAAGUAUUUCCCUGACCAGUGCCUCGACAAGGCCUUUGCCGAAGAGCCGGCCAAGGUGAAGAGAUCGAGUAGGUCUGGAGGGACAAAGGAGGAGGGGAAGGUUGGUGGCAGCGCAGUUGAUCAAGGGCUGGUGUUCUUUGAGGAGGAGAAAGGUGCAGGAGAGACAGGUCCGUCGAAAAAGUUGGAUGUUUCGGAGAAGAAGGUGGAGGAGUUCUUCAAGUGUUUGAAGAAAGUACCCAAUGUUGGUGAGGUUUCAACUGGGGAGCCUUAUAUAGUGACCAAGAAGACAGGGCUUCCUCCAAGAUGGGAUGGUCCUCACGGGACUGUGCUGAUGGUGAACAAACCCAAAGGGUGGACUUCAUUUACUGUUUGUGGAAAGCUACGACGCUUGGUCAAAGUGAAAAAGGUUGGGCAUGCUGGUACCCUUGACCCUAUGGCAACUGGUUUAUUGAUUGUUUGUGUUGGUAAAGCUACUAAGAUGGUGGAAAGAUUUCAGGGCAUGAUCAAGGGUUAUAGUGGAGUUUUCCGAUUGGGGGAAGCUACAUCGACUUGGGAUGCUGAUUCACUGGUCAUCCUACGUGAGCCAUGGGAGCACAUCAAAGAUGAUGAUAUCAAAAAGACUGUUGCAUCGUUUUGUGGGGAGAUAUGGCAAGUUCCUCCAAUGUUUUCUGCCAUCAAGGUAGGAGGUGAAAAGAUGUAUGAGAAAGCAAGGAGAGGAGAAAUGGUUGAGCUUUCACCACGACGCAUUUCAAUUUAUCAGUUCGAUAUUGAACGAAGCUUAGACGACAGACAAAAUUUGAUUUUCCGAGUUACUUGCUCAAAAGGGACAUAUAUUCGAUCCCUUUGUGCAGAUUUUGGAAAGGCUCUUGGCAGUUGUGCUCAUUUGACUGCUCUACGGAGGGUUUCAAUUGGGGAGUAUUCGGCCGAUGAUGCCUGGGAGUUUGUAGAGCUGCAAGAACAGAUCACUAAAGGCUAUAUAUAAAUGUCUAUGCUCUUCAUAAGAAAUUACGGUAUUUCAUGUAACUUCAAGAUGAUGACUUUUGCUGAGCCAACAUGAUUCAAGCUGUCCCGCAGUUGGUCGUGUAUGAGCCCUGGAUCGACAAUCAGGCAGGACUGUCGAUGAGCUUGGGGUGGAUAGGUCUACCGUUUCUCGUGAGGCUUUAUUGUUUGUCUAGAUCUAGUUUUUUCAGUUAAUCAAGUGAACCUGAAAGUGUAUAUACCAUUUGGUCCCUAAUUCAGUUGAAUUAGAUAUGAUCUCUGAUUAUAGUGAAAAUUUCAGUACCUUUUUUUUCCAGGCAUAAUGAUCUUAGUUUAUCCC